AGGACGAACGCUGGCGGCGUGCUUAACACAUGCAAGUCGAGCGGAAAGGCCCUUCGGGGUACUCGAGCGGCGAACGGGUGAGUAACACGUGAGUAACCUGCCCCUAGCUCCGGGAUAGCUCCGGGAAACCGGAAUUAAUACCGGAUGUGAUCACGGCCGACAUCGGCCACGAUGGAAAGAUUUAUCGGCUAGGGAUGGGCCCGCGGCCUAUCAGCUUGUUGGUGGGUAAUGGCCCACCAAGGCAACGACGGGUA
Molecule: ribosomal RNA, 254 nt
Filed under: uncultured bacterium
Lineage: Bacteria
Description: partial small subunit ribosomal RNA
Rfam family: Bacterial small subunit ribosomal RNA
Source: RNAcentral